This 1072-nucleotide small RNA is filed under the name Saitozyma podzolica. RNAcentral describes it as "eukaryotic LSU rRNA". The stretch from base 440 to 1072 matches the Rfam family "Eukaryotic large subunit ribosomal RNA", at positions 1 to 612 of the family's 3401-position model. The record is from RNAcentral. Lineage: Eukaryota; Fungi; Basidiomycota; Tremellomycetes; Tremellales; Trimorphomycetaceae.
AAGGAUCAUUAGUGAACGCCCUCACGGGCUUAUAACUAUUCCAAACCUCUGUGAACCGUGCCCUUCGGGGCUAUUUUACAAACAUGGUGUAAUGAACGUCAUAUAUCAUAACAAAACAAAACUUUCAACAACGGAUCUCUUGGCUCUCGCAUCGAUGAAGAACGCAGCGAAAUGCGAUAAGUAAUGUGAAUUGCAGAAUUCAGUGAAUCAUCGAAUCUUUGAACGCACCUUGCGCCCUCUGGUAUUCCGGAGGGCAUGCCUGUUUGAGUGUCAUGUAGACUCAAUCCCUCGGGUUUCCGAGGAGAUUGGACUUGGGUGUUGCCGCUCUGCCGGCUCGCCUUAAAAGACUUAGCGGGAUAGCACCGUAGUCGGCGUAAUAAGUUUCGUCGGUGAAGGUUGUGAUGACUGCUUACAAUCGCCCUCGGGCAAUUUUUGACUCUGACCUCAAAUCAGGUAGGACUACCCGCUGAACUUAAGCAUAUCAAUAAGCGGAGGAAAAGAAACUAACAAGGAUUCCCUUAGUAGCGGCGAGCGAAGCGGGAAGAGCUCAAAUUUGAAAGCUGGCGUCCUUCGGGCGUCCGCAUUGUAAUCUAUAGAGGCGUUUUCUGUGCUGGACCGUGUCCAAGUCCCUUGGAACAGGGUAUCAAAGAGGGUGACAAUCCCGUACUUGACACGACAACCAGUGCUCUGUGAUACGUCUUCUACGAGUCGAGUUGUUUGGGAAUGCAGCUCAAAAUGGGUGGUGAAUUCCAUCUAAAGCUAAAUAUUGGCGAGAGACCGAUAGCGAACAAGUACCGUGAGGGAAAGAUGAAAAGCACUUUGGAAAGAGAGUUAAACAGUAUGUGAAAUUGUUGAAAGGGAAACGAUGGAGGUCAGUCGUGUCUGUGGGAUUCAGCCGUCUCUGGCGGUGUACUUCCCACAGACGGGUCAACAUCAGUUUUGGUCGGCGGAUAAAGGCAGGAGGAAGGUGGCACCCCCGGGUGUGUUAUAGCCUCUUGUUGCAUACGCUGGCCGAGACUGAGGAAUGCAGCUCGCCUUUAUGGCCGGGGUUCGCCCACGUUCGAGCUUAGGA